GUCCUAGCUGUAAACGGUGCACGUUUGCUGUGAGAGGUGUCGAAUCCUUUCGUGGCGAAGCUAACGCGUUAAACGUGCCGCCUGGGAAGUACGGUCGCAAGAUUAAAACUCAAAGAAAUUGACGGGGGCCUGCACAAGCGGUGGAGUAUGUGGCUUAAUUCGAUGCAACGCGAAGAACCUUACCUGGCCUUGACAUGUAUGUAGUAGAAGGGUGAAAGCCUGACGAGGUAGCAAUACCAGCAUACACAGGUGCUGCAUGGCUGUCGU
RNAcentral lists this ribosomal RNA (267 nucleotides) under uncultured bacterium. Its description in RNAcentral is "partial 16S ribosomal RNA". It matches the Rfam family "Bacterial small subunit ribosomal RNA", at positions 793 to 1055 of the family's 1533-position model. The record is from RNAcentral.